Molecule: ribosomal RNA, 399 nt
Filed under: uncultured bacterium
Lineage: Bacteria
Description: bacterial SSU rRNA
Rfam family: Bacterial small subunit ribosomal RNA
Source: RNAcentral
AUUGAACGCUGGCGGAAUGCUUUACACAUGCAAGUCGAGCGGCAGCGCGGGGGCAACCCUGGCGGCGAGCGGCGAACGGGUGAGUAAUACAUCGGAACGUGUCCUUAAGUGGGGGAUAGCUCGGCGAAAGCCGGAUUAAUACCGCAUAAGCUCUGAGGAGGAAAGCGGGGGCUCCGUAAGGACCUCGCGCUGUUGGAGCGGCCGAUGUCGGAUUAGCUAGUUGGUGGGGUAAAGGCCCACCAAGGCGACGAUCCGUAGCUGGUCUGAGAGGAUGAUCAGCCACACUGGAACUGAGACACGGUCCAGACUCCUACGGGAGGCAGCAGUGGGGAAUUUUGGACAAUGGGGGCAACCCUGAUCCAGCCAUUCCGCGUGAGUGAAGAAGGCCUCGGUUGUAAG